RNAcentral lists this ribosomal RNA (320 nucleotides) under uncultured Prevotella sp. RNAcentral describes it as "bacterial SSU rRNA". It matches the Rfam family "Bacterial small subunit ribosomal RNA", at positions 28 to 339 of the family's 1533-position model. The record is from RNAcentral. Lineage: Bacteria; Pseudomonadati; Bacteroidota; Bacteroidia; Bacteroidales; Prevotellaceae.
GAUGAACGCUAGCUACAGGCUUAACACAUGCAAGUCGAGGGGCAGCAUACUGAUAGCUUGCUAUCAGUGAUGGCGACCGGCGCACGGGUGAGUAACGCGUAUCCAACCUUCCCCAUAGUAGGGCAUAGCCCGUAGAAAUGCGGAUUAAUACCCUAUGUUUUCCUUUGCAGGCAUCUAACGAGGAAUAAAGGUUUACCGCUAUGGGAUGGGGAUGCGUCUGAUUAGGUAGUCGGCGGGGUAACGGCCCACCGAGCCAUCGAUCAGUAGGGGUUCUGAGAGGAAGGUCCCCCACACUGGUACUGAGACACGGACCAGACUCC